Molecule: ribosomal RNA, 393 nt
Filed under: uncultured bacterium
Lineage: Bacteria
Description: partial 16S ribosomal RNA
Rfam family: Bacterial small subunit ribosomal RNA
Source: RNAcentral
AUACGGAGGAUGCAAGCGUUAUCCGGAUUUAUUGGGUUUAAAGGGUGCGUAGGCUGUGCGUCAAGUCAGCGGUGAAAGACCGGGGCCCAACCUCGGAAGUGCCGUUGAUACUGUCGCGCUGGAGUACCCAUGCCGUGGGAGGAAUGAGUGGUGUAGCGGUGAAAUGCAUAGAUAUCACUCAGAACACCGAUUGCGAAGGCAUCUCACGAAUGGGGGACUGACGCUGAGGCACGAAAGCGUGGGGAUCAAACAGGAUUAGAUACCCUGGUAGUCCACGCAGUAAACGAUGAUGACUAACUGUCGGCGAUACACAGUCGGUGGCCAAGCGAAAGCGAUAAGUCAUCCACCUGGGGAGUACGACCGCAAGGUUGAAACUCAAAGGAAUUGACGGGG